Molecule: ribosomal RNA, 496 nt
Filed under: uncultured bacterium
Lineage: Bacteria
Description: partial 16S ribosomal RNA
Rfam family: Bacterial small subunit ribosomal RNA
Source: RNAcentral
GAUGAACGCUGGCGGCGUGCCUAAUACAUGCCAGUCGAGCGAACGGACGAGAAGCUUGCUUCUCUGAUGUUAGCGGCGGACGGGUGAGUAACACGUGGAUAACCUACCUAUAGACUGGGAUAACUUCGGGAAACCGUAGCUAAUACCGGAUAAUAUUUUGAACCGCAUGGUUCAAAAGUGAAAGACGGUCUUGCUGUCACUUAUAGAUGGAUCCGCGCUGCAUUAGCUAGUUGGUAAGGUAACGGCUUACCAAGGCAACGAUGCAUAGCCGACCUGAGAGGGUGAUCGGCCACACUGGAACUGAGACACGGUCCAGACUCCUACGGGAGGCAGCAGUAGGGAAUCUUCCGCAAUGGGCGAAAGCCUGACGGAGCAACGCCGCGUGAGUGAUGAAGGUCUUCGGAUCGUAAAACUCUGUUAUUAGGGAAGAACAUAUGUGUAAGUAACUGUGCACAUCUUGACGGUACCUAAUCAGAAAGCCACGGCUAACUACGUG